RNAcentral lists this ribosomal RNA (768 nucleotides) under uncultured bacterium. RNAcentral describes it as "bacterial SSU rRNA". It matches the Rfam family "Bacterial small subunit ribosomal RNA", at positions 28 to 776 of the family's 1533-position model. The record is from RNAcentral.
GACGAACGCUGGCGGCGUGCCUAAUACAUGCAAGUCGAGCGAAGUUUUUCUGGUGCUUGCACCGGAAAAACUUAGCGGCGAACGGGUGAGUAACACGUAAAGAACCUGCCUCAUAGACUGGGACAACUAUUGGAAACGAUAGCUAAUACCGGAUAACAGCAUUAACUGCAUGGUUGAUGUUUAAAAGUUGGUUUUGCUAACACUAUGAGAUGGCUUUGCGGUGCAUUAGCUAGUUGGUGGGGUAAAGGCCUACCAAGGCGACGAUGCAUAGCCGACCUGAGAGGGUGAUCGGCCACACUGGGACUGAGACACGGCCCAGACUCCUACGGGAGGCAGCAGUAGGGAAUCUUCCGCAAUGGGCGAAAGCCUGACGGAGCAACGCCGCGUGAGUGAAGAAGGAUUUCGGUUCGUAAAGCUCUGUUGUUAGGGAAGAAUGAUUGUGUAGUAACUAUACACAGUAGAGACGGUACCUAACCAGAAAGCCACGGCUAACUACGUGCCAGCAGCCGCGGUAAUACGUAGGUGGCAAGCGUUGUCCGGAAUUAUUGGGCGUAAAGCGCGCGCAGGUGGUUUAAUAAGUCUGAUGUGAAAGCCCACGGCUCAACCGUGGAGGGUCAUUGGAAACUGUUAAACUUGAGUGCAGGAGAGAAAAGUGGAAUUCCUAGUGUAGCGGUGAAAUGCGUAGAGAUUAGGAGGAACACCAGUGGCGAAAGCGGCUUUUUGGCCUGUAACUGACACUGAGGCGCGAAAGCGUGGGGAGCAAACAGG